AGUGGAAUGGGGAGGGACUCUGAUGCAGCGACGCCGCGUGAGGGAUGAAGGUCUUCGGGUUGUAAACCUCUGUCUUCGGGGACGAAGAAGUUGGGGGUCCCCUCGAGGGAUCCGGACCUUACCUCCUGGCCACCCCCCGGGUUAUUAUAUGCCCGCCGCCGCUAUAAUAA
RNAcentral lists this ribosomal RNA (170 nucleotides) under uncultured Acetanaerobacterium sp. RNAcentral describes it as "partial 16S ribosomal RNA". It matches the Rfam family "Bacterial small subunit ribosomal RNA", at positions 365 to 526 of the family's 1533-position model. The record is from RNAcentral. Lineage: Bacteria; Bacillati; Bacillota; Clostridia; Eubacteriales; Oscillospiraceae.